UACAGAGGUCCCGAGCGUUGUCCGGAUUUAUUGGGUUUAAAGGGUGCGUAGGUGGUUCCAUAAGUCAGUGGUGAAAUACGGCAGCUCAACUGUCGAGGUGCCAUUGAUACUGCGGAACUUGAGUACAGACGAGGUAGGCGGAAUUGACGGUGUAGCGGUGAAAUGCUUAGAUAUCGUCAAGAACACCGAUAGCGAAGGCAGCUUACUAGACUGUAACUGACACUGAGGCACGAAAGUGUGGGGAUCAAACAGG
RNAcentral lists this ribosomal RNA (253 nucleotides) under uncultured bacterium. RNAcentral describes it as "partial 16S ribosomal RNA". It matches the Rfam family "Bacterial small subunit ribosomal RNA", at positions 524 to 776 of the family's 1533-position model. The record is from RNAcentral.